RNAcentral lists this ribosomal RNA (253 nucleotides) under uncultured bacterium. Its description in RNAcentral is "partial 16S ribosomal RNA". It matches the Rfam family "Bacterial small subunit ribosomal RNA", at positions 524 to 776 of the family's 1533-position model. The record is from RNAcentral.
UACGAAGGGGGCUAGCGUUGCUCGGAAUCACUGGGCGUAAAGCGCACGUAGGCGGAUCGCUAAGUCAGGGGUGAAAUCCUGGAGCUCAACUCCAGAACUGCCUUUGAUACUGGCAAUCUCGAGUCCGGGAGAGGUGAGUGGAACUGCGAGUGUAGAGGUGAAAUGCGUAGAUAUCGUAAGGAAGACCAGUGGCGAAGGCGGGUCUCUGGACAGUUCCUGACGCUGAGGCACGAAGGCCAGGGGAGCAAACGGG